UACGUAGGGCGCGAGCGUUGUCCGGAAUUAUUGGGCGUAAAGAGCUCGUAGGCGGCCUGUCACGUCCGCUGUGAAAUCCCGGGGCUCAACCCCGGGCGUGCAGUGGAUACGGGCUGGCUGGAGGCAGGCAGGGGAGAACGGAAUUCCUGGUGUAGCGGUGAAAUGCGCAGAUAUCAGGAGGAACACCGGUGGCGAAGGCGGUUCUCUGGGCCUGUUCUGACGCUGAGGAGCGAAAGCGUGGGGAGCGAACAGG
This 253-nucleotide ribosomal RNA is filed under the name uncultured bacterium. Its description in RNAcentral is "partial 16S ribosomal RNA". It matches the Rfam family "Bacterial small subunit ribosomal RNA", at positions 524 to 776 of the family's 1533-position model. The record is from RNAcentral.